Molecule: ribosomal RNA, 436 nt
Filed under: uncultured bacterium
Lineage: Bacteria
Description: bacterial SSU rRNA
Rfam family: Bacterial small subunit ribosomal RNA
Source: RNAcentral
CCUCGGGAGGCAGCAGUGGGGAAUCUUAGACAAUGGGGGCAACCCUGUAUCUAGCCAUGCCGCGUGAGUGAUGAAGGCCUUAGGGUCGUAAAGCUCUUUCGCCUGUGAUGAUAAUGACAGUAGCAGGUAAAGAAACCCCGGCUAACUCCGUGCCAGCAGCCGCGGUAAUACGGAGGGGGUUAGCGUUGUUCGGAAUUACUGGGCGUAAAGCGCGCGUAGGCGGAUUAGAAAGUUGGGGGUGAAAUCCCGGGGCUCAACCCCGGAACUGCCUCCAAAACUGCUAGUCUAGAGUUCGAGAGAGGUGAGUGGAAUUCCGAGUGUAGAGGUGAAAUUCGUAGAUAUUCNGAGGAACACCGGUGGCGAAGGCGGCUCACUGUGCUCGAUACUGACGCUGAGGUGCGAAAGUGUGGGGAGCAAACACGAUUAUAUACCCUGG